This 468-nucleotide ribosomal RNA is filed under the name uncultured bacterium. RNAcentral describes it as "partial 16S ribosomal RNA". It matches the Rfam family "Bacterial small subunit ribosomal RNA", at positions 28 to 507 of the family's 1533-position model. The record is from RNAcentral.
GAUGAACGCUGGCGGCGUGCUUAACACAUGCAAGUCGAACGGAAGGGCCCUGCGUUUGCUGCGUGCUUGAUUGGCGAACAGGUGAGUAUCACGUGUGUAACCUGUCCUUAACUUUGGGAUAACUUUACGAAACUCGGGCUAAUACCCGGUAUGAUCUCUUGCUGCUUGGUGGGGGUUGGAAAGUUUCGGUGGUUGGGGAUGGACUCGCGGCUUAUGAGCUUGUUUGUGGGGUAGGGGCUUACCAAGGCUGUGACGGGUAGUCCGCCUGAGCGGGUGACCAGGGACAUGGGGACUGAGGUACGCCGCAGACUGGUACGUGAGGCAGAGGGGGGAAAUCUUACAAAAUGGGCGGAAGCCAGAUGCAACAGCCCUGCGUGCGGAAUGACGGCCUUGGAGUUAUGAACAGCUUUAUCAGGUGCGGCGGACUGCGUGACGGUAACGGGUAAGGAAGCACCGGCUAAUUACGUG